This 293-nucleotide ribosomal RNA is filed under the name uncultured bacterium. RNAcentral's name for it is "partial 16S ribosomal RNA". The record is from RNAcentral.
GGACUACCCGGGUAUCUAAUCCCAUUCGCGACCCACGCUUUCGUGCUUCAGCGUCAGGUGUGGACCAGUUUGCUGCCUUCGCUUUUGGUGUUCCCCAUGAUAUCAACGCAUUUCACCGCUACACCAUGAGUUCCGCAAACCCCUUCCAACCUCUUAGUCGCGCCGUUUCCCGUGCAGCUUCCCGGUUGAGCCGAGAAAUUUAACACAAGACUAACGCGACCGCCUACGCACCCUUUACGCCCAAUAAUUCCGGAUAACGCUCGAGGCACUCGUAUUACCGCGGCUGCUGGCAC